GACGAACGAGGGCGGCGUGCUUAACACAUGCAAGUCGAACGGAAAGGCCCUGCUUUUGUGGGGUGCUCGAGUGGCGAACGGGUGAGUAACACGUGAGUAACCUGCCCUUGACUUUGGGAUAACUUCAGGAAACUGGGGCUAAUACCGGAUAGGAGCUCCUGCUGCAUGGUGGGGGUUGGAAAGUUUCGGCGGUUGGGGAUGGACUCGCGGCUUAUCAGCUUGUUGGUGGGGUAGUGGCUUACCAAGGCUUUGACGGGUAGCCGGCCUGAGAGGGUGACCGGCCACAUUGGGACUGAGAUACGGCCCAGACUCCUACGGGAGGCAGCAGUGGGGAAUAUUGCACAAUGGGCGGAAGCCUGAUGCAGCAACGCCGCGUGCGGGAUGACGGCCUUCGGGUUGUAAACCGCUUUCGCCUGUGACGAAGCGUGAGUGACGGUAAUGGGUAAAGAAGCACCGGCUAACUACGUG
RNAcentral lists this ribosomal RNA (468 nucleotides) under uncultured bacterium. Its description in RNAcentral is "partial 16S ribosomal RNA". It matches the Rfam family "Bacterial small subunit ribosomal RNA", at positions 28 to 507 of the family's 1533-position model. The record is from RNAcentral.